UACUAUCAUGUCAUCAUAGUGAUGUUUUCAUAGUGAUGACAUCAUAGUGAUGUCAUCACUUUGAUGUCAUCGCAGUGAUGACAUCACAGCCCUG
Xyrichtys novacula (pearly razorfish) is the source of this 94-nucleotide non-coding RNA. NCBI's taxonomy places the organism in Eukaryota, Metazoa, Chordata, Actinopteri, Labriformes, Labridae. The record is from the annotation of a GenBank genome assembly.